UACGUAGGGGGCAAGCGUUGUCCGGAAUUACUGGGCGUAAAGCGUUUGUAGGCGGUCAAUCAAGUCAGGGGUGAAAUCCCAGAGCUCAACUCUGGAAUUGCCUUUGAAACUGAUUGGCUAGAGAGUGUUAGAGGUUAGUGGAAUUCCUAGUGUAGGAGUGAAAUCCGUAGAGAUUAGGAGGAAUAUCGAUGGCGAAGGCAGCUAACUGGGACAUUUCUGACGCUGAGAAACGAAAGCGUGGGUAGCAAACAGG
Molecule: ribosomal RNA, 253 nt
Filed under: uncultured bacterium
Lineage: Bacteria
Description: partial 16S ribosomal RNA
Rfam family: Bacterial small subunit ribosomal RNA
Source: RNAcentral